Molecule: unclassified non-coding RNA, 433 nt
Filed under: uncultured Russula
Lineage: Eukaryota; Fungi; Basidiomycota; Agaricomycetes; Russulales; Russulaceae
Description: sequence contains ITS2
Rfam family: 5.8S ribosomal RNA (bases 1-154)
Source: RNAcentral
AACUUUCAGCAACGGAUCUCUUGGCUCUCGCAUCGAUGAAGAACGCAGCGAAAUGCGAUACGUAAUGUGAAUUGCAGAAUUCAGUGAAUCAUCGAAUUUUUGAACGCACCUUGCGCCCCUUGGAAUUCCGAGGGGCACACCCGUUUGAGUGCCGUGAACAUUCUUCAACCCUUCUUGGUUUCUUAACCGGGGAAGGCUUGGACUUUGGGGGUCUUUCAUUGCUGGCCUCUUUGAAGCCAGCUCCUCCUAAAUGGAUUAGUGUGGUCUGCUUUGCCGAUCCUUGACGUGAUAAGAUGUUUCUACGUCUUGGGUUUCGCACUGUCGCUUUAGACCCCGCUUCUAACCGUCUUGCAUUCAAGACAGAGUUUUAAACCUUGACCUCAAAUCGGGUGAGACUACCCGCUGAACUUAAGCAUAUCAAUAAGCGGAGGCU